UACGGGGGGAGCAAGCGUUGUUCGGAUUUACUGGGCGUAAAGGGCGCGUAGGCGGCCACCGCAAGUCAGUUGUGAAAUCUCUGGGCUUAACCCAGAAAGGUCAACUGAUACUGCGGGGCUAGAGUGCAGAAGGGGCAACUGGAAUUCUCGGUGUAGCGGUGAAAUGCGUAGAUAUCGAGAGGAACACCUGCGGCGAAGGCGGGUUGCUGGGCUGACACGUGACGCUGAAGCGCGAAAGCUAGGGGAGCGAACGGG
This 255-nucleotide ribosomal RNA is filed under the name uncultured bacterium. Its description in RNAcentral is "partial 16S ribosomal RNA". It matches the Rfam family "Bacterial small subunit ribosomal RNA", at positions 524 to 776 of the family's 1533-position model. The record is from RNAcentral.